Non-coding RNA from Salmo salar (Atlantic salmon), 71 nucleotides. NCBI's taxonomy places the organism in Eukaryota, Metazoa, Chordata, Actinopteri, Salmoniformes, Salmonidae. The record is from Rfam.
GAUGAUGUGGCUCAGUUGGUAGAGCAUGGCACUUGCAAUGCUUGGGUUGUGGGUUUGAUUCCCACUCACUA